UGUUCGAACAGUAGAUGGAAUACACUUUUAUCAUCGCCCACGGUCCGUUUUCCUUCUUUUCGUUUUUCUCGUAUUUCUGAAUUAAUUUGGAAAGUUCUCUACCUCCUUGUACUCCUACUUCUGUUGGAUUAUUUGUUACUGCAGCUGAUUCAAGGUCUUAUCUGAAGUUUCUGGAGACGGAAUUUUUUCUUGUUUGAUAUGGGGCAGACUGAUGGAUGCUUUACAAGAAUAUGCGAUAAGAGGCAUAAUUCUUCAAUGAGCAUGAGUUGUUCUCUUGUUGUAUUGGAAUGCCGGAAAAACUGAAGGCUGGAGCAUUGUACUUGUUCAACAUAAAAGGGAGCGAGACCAACCAAGGACAUCCAUAAAGAUGGUUUGAACUGAGAUUGUUCCUUUCGAGUUUACUUGGUUAUAGUACAUGUUAAUUUGAACCGACCAAGAAGAUAGUAAAGUUACAGGGCCUGUGUGGCUUGCAGGAAUUAAAGAAAUAAGUACCUUCUUUUACCUUAUUCGAAAAUAAAGACAUAAACAUGGAAUCAUUUUAACCACGUAAUUUGGAACUAAUUUACAUAUCAUGGGGCAGGGAAGUUAAAAGAAUGAGAAUGUUCUUCAUUGUGCAUAUAAUGUGUAAAAAUAAAUGGCAGUGUUUUUACCAUUGAUGUUAUUAUGGUACCUAUUUAUGUUGUCUCAAAGUUCAGAGAAGUCUUUCUUUGAAAGCAAACGGGGUUGCCAAUCACUUUUGUAUGUGGACCAAAAGCUUAGCUUUCAAAUAUGGACCGAGAAAAAUCUCAGAGGGAUGUACCACAGGUAAUAAGCUUCUGUACAGGUUGGUCACACUUCUUAUCUGGUGAUAGGAUGUGGAUUGGGCAUUGAGGUUGGAUGGAUACUGAAGCCAUUGAAGAAAAUCACGUGGUAGUAAAAUCUUGACUUUAGCCGAAAGAUCAAAAUUAGUGAUCCAUAUUUUCUGUAUCUUGAUUCUUAACAGGCAUGAGCUGGAUCAGCACAGCACACACUCUGGUGGCCUGCCUAGUCUCCAAUCCUUUUUUCAAUUCAUGUCAGCUUCCAUCACUUUCCCAGUGAAUUUUUCUUUCCCAUUCAAAGCAAUACAACAAGAACCAUGAAAGUGAGCCUAAAGCAGCACUAAGAAUUACGAUCUUGGGAAAGAUUAAUUGGUCCAUGAAGAGGGAAGUUAAAGAGGAGAUCAUGGAGAUUAAAAGUGCUUCUAAAAUUGAGAAUUCCAAGACAAAAUCCUCAUGUAGAGGAGCUGGAGGAUUGGUGCGAGAAGGAAAAGGUAGGCUGUAUAUAUUUGGCCGAUGUGUUGCUAUGCUUCUUUGCUGGCACGAUUGAAGCAAUUCAUUGUAUCAAAAUCCCAUGCAUCUGUUUUUGUUAGUUCUUAUCAUUUCCUUUUUUUUGUUUACUUCUCUUUCUAGAUCAAUCUGUACAUCUUAUUGUAAUCUUGUAAGAUGAAGGUUCUGAUUA
Momordica charantia (bitter melon) is the source of this 1476-nucleotide non-coding RNA. Lineage: Eukaryota; Viridiplantae; Streptophyta; Magnoliopsida; Cucurbitales; Cucurbitaceae. The record is from RefSeq and is a predicted model, not a curated record.